Molecule: long non-coding RNA, 201 nt
Filed under: Mytilus galloprovincialis (Mediterranean mussel)
Lineage: Eukaryota; Metazoa; Mollusca; Bivalvia; Mytilida; Mytilidae
Source: RNAcentral
UGGGGUCAUAUUGAUCAACAAUUUCGGUUCUUCUAUAUUUGUGACUUUCAAAUAUGAUCAUGUGAGCAUUCCUGUUGAAUCAAGAAAAGCUCUUUUGACAUGAAAUUUAUUAUAGUGUUUAAUCGGUUAUAAGCAACGGAUGUGCAUACAUAUUAUUCUGACUGUUUAGAGUAUAGAAUGCUAUUUAUUUGGACUUACACA